GUGCCUGUAGUUCAGAGGAAGAACGCCGGACUCCGGAUCCGGAGGUCGCGGGUUCAAGUCCCGCCAGGCACGCCA
RNAcentral lists this transfer RNA (75 nucleotides) under bacterium HR19. RNAcentral's name for it is "tRNA-Arg". It matches the Rfam family "tRNA". Rfam says of the family: Transfer RNA (tRNA) molecules are approximately 80 nucleotides in length. Their secondary structure includes four short double-helical elements and three loops (D, anti-codon, and T loops). The record is from RNAcentral.